GGUGAACGCUGGCGGCGUGCCUAAUACAUGCAAGUCGAGCGAACGGACGAGAAGCUUGCUUCUCUGAUGUUAGCUGCGGACGGGUGAGUAACACGUGGAUAACCUACCUAUAAGACUGGGAUAACUUCGGGAAACCGGAGCUAAUACCGGAUGAUAUUUUGAACCGCAUGGUUCAAAAGUGAAAGACGGUCUUGCUGUCACUUAUAGAUGGAUCCGCGCUGCAUUAGCUAGUUGGUAAGGUAACGGCUUACCAAGGCAACGAUGCAUAGCCGACCUGAGAGGGUGAUCGGCCACACUGGAACUGAGACACGGUCCAGACUCCUACGGGAGGCAGCAGUAGGGAAUCUUCCGCAAUGGGCGAAAGCCUGACGGAGCAACGCCGCGUGAGUGAUGAAGGUCUUCGGAUCGUAAAACUCUGUUAUUAGGGAAGAACAUAUGUGUAAGUAACUGUGCACAUCUUGACGGUACCUAAUCAGAAAGCCACGGCUAACUACGUG
RNAcentral lists this ribosomal RNA (497 nucleotides) under uncultured bacterium. RNAcentral describes it as "partial 16S ribosomal RNA". It matches the Rfam family "Bacterial small subunit ribosomal RNA", at positions 28 to 507 of the family's 1533-position model. The record is from RNAcentral.